RNAcentral lists this long non-coding RNA (1319 nucleotides) under Monodelphis domestica (gray short-tailed opossum). RNAcentral's name for it is "lncRNA (ENSMODG00000042515.1)". Lineage: Eukaryota; Metazoa; Chordata; Mammalia; Didelphimorphia; Didelphidae. The record is from RNAcentral.
GACUAUGGAAACCUGCCAUUUAUUGAUAAACGUUGUGGGACUUUGUUUAAUGAUUAUGUCUAAUUCCAGGAGAAGGGAACAAAAGAGCCAAUAUACAGUGCCAAGUAGCACAAGGUCAGAACAGACCAAAUUCAAUCCAGGGAGGAUUGUUGAACUUCUAUGCCAAUAUGAAAGGUCUUGAACCUAGUGUGUGAAUUGAGGUUGCAGCGCUUGACAUAUGUUAAGAUGCAGGACUUCCUUGAACCACACUACAUGUGCAAUACUUUGAGUCAAGUGCCUCAGGUUGGCUAUCAUUCUGGCUCCCCCUAUCUCUGACAGUGAUGGUACAAUCAGACUAGUGAAUGAUUUUCCCAUUUGCUGCUGAAAUUUAGUCUUUUCUCUCUUAUAGUUUGGCAAUUUUCUUCAGUCGUGGCUGCAAAUGGGUAAAGUGCUGUGUUGCUGCUAUUGCCCUACAGGCUUGUGCGACAUAAAUCACUUUAAUUGGUCCUUGCUGUGAUUCAAGAACCUGUUACAGGCUAUUUUUAUUUUCUAGUCAGAAUUUUAUACAUGUAAGAUUUUUUAUUUUAUUUUUUUUAUCAUUUCUGUAUCUCUUAUUUUUAUACAGAAUUUAAUUUUACCUUUUAUUUGGGAUUUUUUGGGUGGUUUAUAUUUUUUUUGGUUUUUCUUUUGACAAUUAUUUCAUAUACCUCAUAACUCAGACAUGUAUCCCAGUAUGAUUCUGGUGUUGGUCAACACCCUCCUCAGGGGGGAUUGUGUAAUUAUCCUAAAAUGCAAGAUUUAAAAUUUUUUUGGAGAAAUUUCAGGAAAAGAAACUUGCCAACACCCCAAGAUCAAGACAGUGGAUCCUUUUGGAGAAGAAGCAUAUUGAGAAGCUGGAAAAUAUCCAGAGAAACCAGGAUGGCAAAGGGCUCAGAAUCCAUGACAUUUGAAGAUUGGUUGAAGUAACUGGGCAUAUUUAGUCUGAAGAAAAAACGUUUGGAGAGAACAUGAUAACUGUUUCUUUUUUCUUUAAAAAAAAAUUCUUACCUUCUGACUUAGAAUCAAUGCUAAGUAUAGAUUCCUUUUUUCCCCCCCAAAACCUUACCUUACAUCUUAGAAUCAAAACUAUGUACUGGGUCUAAGGCAGAAGAGUGGUAAGGAAUUUGCAAUGGGAGUUAAGUGACUUGCUCAAGGUCACACAGUUAGGAAGUGCCCAAGACCAGAUUUGAACCUAGGACCUCCCAUCUCUGGGCCUGACUCUCAAUCCACUGAGCCACUUGGCUGUCCUCAGUAGCAAUUUGAAGUCAGAAGGGUGGAAUAAAGUGACUUGUCCACGAUCA